UGAGGCAGGAGAAUUGCUUGAACCCAGGAGGUGGAGGUUGCAGUGAGCCGAGAUCACGCCACUGUACUCUAGCCUGGGCGACAGAGCAAGACUCCA
Molecule: microRNA precursor, 96 nt
Filed under: Rhinopithecus roxellana (golden snub-nosed monkey)
Lineage: Eukaryota; Metazoa; Chordata; Mammalia; Primates; Cercopithecidae
Description: miRNA (ENSRROG00000027225.1)
Source: RNAcentral